This 555-nucleotide small RNA is filed under the name Pongo abelii (Sumatran orangutan). RNAcentral's name for it is "processed transcript". Lineage: Eukaryota; Metazoa; Chordata; Mammalia; Primates; Hominidae. The record is from RNAcentral.
UUCCUUUCUCCCUUCUUCAUUCUGCCGGGAGGUUCAGGGGCACUUCCUUUUCACUACUGUGAGACCAACUUGGUCAAAGUCAUGCAAUGCCUAACCCAGGGACAAGCAUGAGGAGAACCACCGGCCCUUAUUCCACAAGGGCCCCGUGAUUAAGGUGAACAGCAAGCAACGCUAUGCUUCAAACGCAGUGUCAGAGGCCCUGAUCCGAGAGGUGGCCAACAAAGUCAAGGUCCCCCUGCAGGAUCUCAUGGUCCGGAAUGACACCCCCUGUGGAACCACCAUUGGACCUAUCUUGGCUUCUCGGCUGGGGCUGCGGGUGCUGGAUUUAGGCAGCCCCCAACUGGCCAUGCACUCUAUCCGGGAGAUGGCCUGCACCACAGGAGUCCUCCAGACCCUCACCCUCUUCAAGGGCUUCUUCGAGCUGUUCCCUUCUCUAAGCCAUAAUCUCUUAGUGGAUUGAGCCCUCUUGGAAAGACUUCUCUGCCAUCCCUUUGCACCUGAGAGGGGAAGUUCUCAGCUGAGCUGAAGCUGGAUUAUUAAAGUGGAUUUUCACUC